UGGGGAAUUUUGCGCAAUGGGCGAAAGCCUGACGCAGCAACGCCGCGUGAGUGAUGAAGGCUUUCGGGUCGUAAAGCUCUGUCAAUGGGAAAGAAGUGUAUUGAGGCUAAUAUCCUUGAUACUUGACGGUACCCAUAAAGGAAGCACCGGCUAACUCCGUGCCAGCAGCCGCGGUAAUACGGGGGGUGCAAGCGUUGUUCGGAAUUAUUGGGCGUAAAGCGCGUGUAGGCGGUUUGAUCAGUCUGAUGUGAAAGCCCCGGGCUCAACCCGGGAAGUGCAUUGGAUACUGUCAGACUUGAAUACGGGAGAGGGUAGUGGAAUUCCUAGUGUAGGAGUGAAAUCCGUAGAUAUUAGGAGGAACACCGGUGGCGAAGGCGGCUGCCUGGACCGAUAUUGACGCUGAGACGCGAAAGCGUGGGUAGCAAACA
RNAcentral lists this ribosomal RNA (428 nucleotides) under uncultured Geobacter sp. Its description in RNAcentral is "partial 16S ribosomal RNA". It matches the Rfam family "Bacterial small subunit ribosomal RNA", at positions 355 to 774 of the family's 1533-position model. The record is from RNAcentral. Lineage: Bacteria; Pseudomonadati; Thermodesulfobacteriota; Desulfuromonadia; Geobacterales; Geobacteraceae.